ACGUAGGGUGCGAGCGUUAAUCGGAAUUACUGGGCGUAAAGCGUGCGCAGGCGGUUAUUUAAGACAGGCGUGAAAGCCCCGGGCUUAACCUGGGAGGUGCGCUUGUGACUGGAUAGCUAGAGUACGGCAGAGGGGGGUGGAAUUCCACGUGUAGCAGUGAAAUGCGUAGAGAUGUGGAGGAACACCGAUGGCGAAGGCAGCCCCCUGGGCUAGUACUGACGCUCAGGCACGAAAGCGUGGGGAGCAAACAGGAUUAGAUACCCUGGUAGUCCACGCCCUAAACGAUGUCAACUGGUUGUCGGGGGGGUUACUCCUUGGUAACGAAGCUAACGCGUGAAGUUGACCGCCUGGGGAGUACGGCCGCAAGGUUG
Molecule: ribosomal RNA, 371 nt
Filed under: uncultured bacterium
Lineage: Bacteria
Description: bacterial SSU rRNA
Rfam family: Bacterial small subunit ribosomal RNA
Source: RNAcentral